ACGGGAGGCAGCAGUGGGGAAUAUUGCACAAUGGGCGCAAGCCUGAUGCAGCGACGCCGCGUGAGCGAAGAAGUAUUUCGGUAUGUAAAGCUCUAUCAGCAGGGAAGAAAAUGACGGUACCUGACUAAGAAGCUCCGGCUAAAUACGUGCCAGCAGCCGCGGUAAUACGUAUGGAGCAAGCGUUAUCCGGAUUUACUGGGUGUAAAGGGAGCGUAGACGGAACAGCAAGUCUGAUGUGAAAGGCAGGGGCUCAACUCCUGGACUGCAUUGGAAACUGCUGAUCUUGAGUGCCGGAGAGGUAAGCGGAAUUCCUAGUGUAGCGGUGAAAUGCGUAGAUAUUAGGAGGAACACCAGUGGCGAAGGCGGCUUACUGGACGGUAACUGACGUUGAGGCUCGAAAGCGUGGGGAGCAAACAGGAUUAGAUACCCUGGUA
RNAcentral lists this ribosomal RNA (434 nucleotides) under uncultured Lachnospiraceae bacterium. RNAcentral describes it as "partial 16S ribosomal RNA". It matches the Rfam family "Bacterial small subunit ribosomal RNA", at positions 341 to 792 of the family's 1533-position model. Lineage: Bacteria; Bacillati; Bacillota; Clostridia; Lachnospirales; Lachnospiraceae. The record is from RNAcentral.